RNAcentral lists this long non-coding RNA (1271 nucleotides) under Heterocephalus glaber (naked mole-rat). Its description in RNAcentral is "lncRNA (ENSHGLG00000031315.2)". The record is from RNAcentral. Lineage: Eukaryota; Metazoa; Chordata; Mammalia; Rodentia; Bathyergidae.
GUGAAAACUGUCUCCCGGUGUAAAAAUGGGCAACUAUGGGUUAACUGUGUAACUAUGCUUGCUGAGAAAGAUACAUUGUAACCAGUCACUACUGUAAUACAAACUCACUAGAGCAAAGCAAUCCCAGAAAGCCCUGCCAAACUUCCUGCUCCCACCUUCACUGCCCCUUUGCCUAUGUAAUUGUGUUUAGAUUGAUGGCUGUUUUCCCAGUGAUUACGGUUGCUGUUUCCCCCUCCCAUAGAAACAUAAAGGUAUAAAAACGAGAGUAAACUUCUGUUUGACAUUUUUGAGGUGAUCUGAAUCCCUUGAAGCUGCCAGCGAUAAAGCUGAUUUUUGCUCCUACUUAUGUGGUCAGUGGUCUGUCCGGAGACCCUCAAGCGGUCACACUUCACUUCUAAGGGUCAUUUAAAUUUUAGAAAUAUCACUAGGCAGCUGGGUGGAAGAUAGAUGGAAGGAGAAGAUAUUGCAGUGCAGAUGGUACCAGCAGUUGAUUACAACAAUCAGAGAAGGAACGGCAUUUCAAUCCAAUUCAACAAAUCCUGUGAUCCUACUGGAUGCACAGUACAGGAGCAGGAAGAUGAGUUUGACAUAGUUUGUUUCCAGAGGUUAUUAACAUAAAGACGAGAAGCUGAAAGCAGAAAGAAGUGAAGAAUUUCACCUAUGGCUACUCAGAAGAGGACCUGGGAUGAAAACCAGCCUGACCCUGGGCUCAUCUGUUGACUCUAGGGUGUCCUGGAAUCAAUCACCUAGGAUACUGAGGGAUGAUUGUAUUGGCUUUAAGGUUCAGAGAGACACAAACAUUUCCUACCCUUUGAGAUGGUUACUGGAGCUGAUGGAAGAGGCCAGGCAGACAGUGAGAGUGAAUUAUGUUCACAGACCCAGAUAGCGCUCACCGACCCAGAUAAUGUUCACCCAUGGACAAAGCAAAACCACCAGGUUCAUCUGUCUCCAAAUCUUGUGAUUGACAAGGGAAAAGGAUUCAUGAAGUGGGACCUGUGACACAAAUUGCAUGUGUGAAUGUACCUGGCACUUACCUGUUGUGCAUAUCACUAUACUGGAUGGUAUUUUACCUCCUUGAAAAGAGCUGAGGAGCUUAACAGCAACUAAUAUUACAACAACACCCGUCUCUAUGCCGCCACUAGACUGAGAGUGCUUUGUCCUUCCUGUUCCUGCCAGAUUUUAAAUGGAUGUGGUUUUAUUCCUCUUCUCAUCUAAUAUUGGAACAUAUCAACCUCCAGCAAGACACCAUUUAGAAAAGCUGUUCUUAUGUU